Long non-coding RNA from Ahaetulla prasina, 1261 nucleotides. RefSeq lists it as uncharacterized. The record is from RefSeq and is a predicted model, not a curated record. NCBI's taxonomy places the organism in Eukaryota, Metazoa, Chordata, Lepidosauria, Squamata, Colubridae. The transcript is spliced from 3 exons.
AGGCAUGCCAGCUUCAAAAGAGCUAGCUGGCAGGAGAAAAGGUAUGGAGCCAGGGAGGGAUAGCCAGUCCUUCCAGAAUUGCUGGUGACUGACAGCUGAUUUCUGUUAAAGGCUUUGCUCCCUGCAGAGCCACAGGCCUGGGUGCUUUCACUGACUUCUCCACCUGUAUCACAAAAUGCAACUUUCCUCAGCAGGAGUUUGAUGGAAAAAGAAAAAAAAAAUGCUCCCCUUUGAUGAUUUCCCAGACUGAUUUCCUUCAGAUGCUUUGCACGACAACUCUUACCAAUCCCAGAGACAUGGAAAGAUGUGUCAAAUGCAAUUGGAGGGUUCUGGGGUUUGGGGAAAAGUCACAUCAUGUCAAAAAGGUAAAAAUUGGGUGAGGAGAUUGUCAGGUGCAGGAAGCCAAGAAUAGCAGAUGUAAAAGCUCAAAGCAAUUUCUCGCCCGCAGACAAGAUCUUGCCAGACUCAAGUACACUUUACAUAAUUAUUCAAUAAAAAAUUGAGGAAAAAAUAGGGAGGGUCACUCCUCAGGUGCUUCUUCCAAAGCAAUGAUUUAAGAUUGAUGUUUCUCUUUAUUCCUCCUUUUUGUAUCUCAGUGCCAGAUUCUACUGCAGAGAUCUCAGAGACUUCUCAAAAUGGCCAGUGUGAGUUUAGUAUGAUAUCUAAUGGAAAUUAAUCAUGGCAAGUGUAAUUACUUAAUUUGAUUUACACUGUAUUUCAAUUAAAUCAAAUUAAAUUAUCUUUUCUUGAUGUGGCUGUGGCUACAUUUUAGAAUGCAGUAUUCUCAGACUACUCCAUAGCCCAGCUGCAGAUGGUUGCUUGUACUUAAAACUUAGAUUCUUUUGCAAAGAUGACAUAAACAGGAAUGUAAAUAAGGUAACAAGCAGGGGUGAAAUCCAGCAGAUUCUGACAGGUUCUGGAGAACCGGUAGCGGAAAUUUUGAGUAGUUCGGAGAACCAGCAAUUACCACCUCUGGAUGGUCCCAGAGUGGGGUGGGAAUGGAGAUUUUGCAGUGGUGUGCCCACCAAGCCACACCCCAUCCCCCAAACCACGCCCACAGAACCGGUAGUAAAAAAUUUGAAUUUCACCACUGGUAACAAGGAUGUAAAAGGAGGAUGAAAUGGUGUGACUGAGCAACUCUGGCUCCUGAACAUCUAGCCUGGAAGAACGAAAGACUGUAAGAUGAGGCUGAUGUAGCCUGAAAUGUUCUCCAGGUCACCAGGGGAGAAUCCAUCCAUCAAGGAAUAAAGUUUUAUUUGCA